This 253-nucleotide ribosomal RNA is filed under the name uncultured bacterium. RNAcentral's name for it is "partial 16S ribosomal RNA". It matches the Rfam family "Bacterial small subunit ribosomal RNA", at positions 524 to 776 of the family's 1533-position model. The record is from RNAcentral.
UACGUAGGGUGCAAGCGUUGUCCGGAAUUAUUGGGCGUAAAGAGCUCGUAGGCGGUCUGUCGCGUCGGCUGUGAAAACUCGGGGCUCAACUCCGAGCUUGCAGUCGAUACGGGCAGGCUAGAGUUCGGCAGGGGAGACUGGAAUUCCUGGUGUAGCGGUGAAAUGCGCAGAUAUCAGGAGGAACACCGGUGGCGAAGGCGGGUCUCUGGGCCGAUACUGACGCUGAGGAGCGAAAGUGUGGGGAGCGAACAGG